GGGCCCGCACAAGCGGUGGAGCAUGUGGUUUAAUUCGAUGAUACGCGAGGAACCUUACCAGGGCUUAAAUGGGAGAUGACAGGGGCAGAGACGCCCUUUUCUUCGGACAUCUUUCAAGGUGCUGCAUGGUUGUCGUCAGCUCGUGCCGUGAGGUGUCAGGUUAAGUCCUAUAACGAGCGCAACCCCUACCGUUAGUUGCCAGCGAUUCAAGUCGGGGACUCUAACGGGACUGCCGGUGCAAACCGUGAGGAAGGUGGGGACGACGUCAAAUCAUCACGGCCCUUACGUCCUGGGCUACACACGUGCUACAAUGGUCGGUACAGAGGGAAGCUACCCCGUAAGGGGAUGCGGAUCUAUAAAACCGAUCUCAGUUCGGAUCGGAGUCUGCAACUCGACUCCGUGAAGUCGGAAUCGCUAGUAAUCG
This 424-nucleotide ribosomal RNA is filed under the name uncultured bacterium. RNAcentral describes it as "bacterial SSU rRNA". It matches the Rfam family "Bacterial small subunit ribosomal RNA", at positions 917 to 1344 of the family's 1533-position model. The record is from RNAcentral.